Molecule: non-coding RNA, 184 nt
Filed under: Bacillota bacterium
Lineage: Bacteria; Bacillati; Bacillota
Description: 6S RNA
Rfam family: 6S / SsrS RNA
About the family: E. coli 6S RNA was the first non coding RNA to be sequenced, but its function was unknown until recently. It consists of 184 nucleotides that fold into an extended hairpin structure with a large single-stranded internal bulge.
Source: RNAcentral
CGUUCUCUGGGGUGUUUGCCAGCACGUGAAUGUCCCUGAGCCGAUAUCGUCAGUACAGGGUCCUGCUCGUGUACCAGUGUGCAAGCCCGCCGAGCAGCGGGAAGCCUGCGGUACAUGUUUCAGCACCCGCCUUGAGCCAAAGGGUUCAAGGGCUAACACGACGCAGCGGCACCUUGGAGAACAC